Molecule: long non-coding RNA, 1143 nt
Organism: Phyllostomus discolor (pale spear-nosed bat)
Lineage: Eukaryota; Metazoa; Chordata; Mammalia; Chiroptera; Phyllostomidae
Exons: 2
Source: RefSeq, a predicted model, not a curated record
UGAUUCUUGGCGCCCAUUGGGCCGUCUUCCCUUAUCACGUUGAGGACGCGGAGUGGGCGGGGUUUAGUAGGAAGGAAAUGGCGUAGCUGGGCUGCGCCCGGCGCCGGCUGUAGGUUCGUUUUAUUGGUUCCGGCUUUGGGGGGAGGGGAUGUCGUGGGUUUGUUCUUUUGGUUUGGGGGGCUGUCAGUCCUUUCUUGAGGUUUCCGGGUGGUAAUCGUGUGUAUCUCCUUAGGCGAGCAGUGCUGGGAGAUGGGAAUUAUGGGGUUUAAUGCAACAUUCGUACCAGUUGGUUCUCAAAGUGUGGUCCCUUUACCAGCCGCAUCAGCAUCGCCUGGUAAUCUAUUACAAAUGCAAAUUUUCAACACCCCCCCCCCCCAGACGUGACUCAGAAACGCUGGGGAUGGGCUCUGCAACCUGUUUUAACAAGCACUCCAGGUGAACAGAUCUAUUUUAUGAUCAAAGGAAAGUAAGUCAGCACGUUUGACUGGCCCUUGAAACAGCGCACCGGACCUGCGAUCUGUAGUUCUGGUGUGGAUCCUGCCUCUCACUAGCUGUGAGGCCUGCAGGAGGAAGACCCUAACUUCAGGGGGCCCACGUUUCGUAACCAAUGUUUCCUUGCAGCCCUGAGACUCGGAUUCUUAAAUUUAUAGGAAGUCACAAAAGAUGACAUACAAUUCUCCCUAAUUAACUGUACAUAGAUAGUUACUUGAUCCUAUCCCCAUCCGUCGUCCUUCCUGUGAAUUUCUACUGAGGUGUGUCAGGGCUACAUUUUCUAACCGAUAUUAGUCCUUUGAUGCUAAGCACUAAUAAGCAAUUUCCAUGUAUGAAAUAACACUGCAUGCCCCGCCCGCCGUCCCACCCCAGCCAGCUCUCAGACCUAGGCAUCUGCUGUAGACUCAGUACGUGUUAGCUAGAGGAGGAAGCUCAGGGACUCUACACCUGUCUGUUGAGUGUUGACUUCUCCUUUCACUUUACAGAGAAAAGAAAGGUCAUUUGGCAACAACUUCCUUUGAUAAUUUCCCCCGCCAGCACAUGUAGCUAAAAAUUAUUUGUGUUGAUUCAUCCUUGAAAAGAUUUUUCGAUGACUAUAUUAAAAUUUAAAUCAUGUGUACAGUGAAAGCAUCAUUAAAAAAUUAAAGACAA